RNAcentral lists this transfer RNA (64 nucleotides) under Eucalanus bungii. RNAcentral's name for it is "tRNA Pro". Lineage: Eukaryota; Metazoa; Arthropoda; Copepoda; Calanoida; Eucalanidae. The record is from RNAcentral.
UUCUAAAUAAUUUAAAUUAAAAUUUUAAUUUUGGAGAUUAAAAAUAAGCCUGGCUUUUUAGAAA